RNAcentral lists this ribosomal RNA (576 nucleotides) under uncultured eukaryote. Its description in RNAcentral is "bacterial SSU rRNA". It matches the Rfam family "Eukaryotic small subunit ribosomal RNA", at positions 204 to 794 of the family's 1831-position model. The record is from RNAcentral.
CGUAUUUWUUAGAGUUUUCGCCAACCACCUCCGGGUGUUCGGUGAGUCAUAAUAACUUCUCGGAUCGCAUGGUCUCGCACCGGCGACAGGUCAUUCAARUUUCUGCCCUAUCAGCUUUCGAUGGUAGGAUAGUGGCCUACCAUGGCAUUAACGGGUGACGGAGAAUUAGGGUUCRAUUCCGGAGAGGGAGCCUGARAAACGGCUACCACUUCUACGGAAGGCAGCAGGCGCGCAAAUUGCCCAAUCCUGACACAGGGAGGCAGUGACAAGAAAUAACAGUAGACGGCUUACGCUUGUCUUACUGGAAUGAGAACAAUUUAAACACCUUAUCGAAUUACUGGAGGGCAAGUCUGGUGCCAGCAGCCGCGGUAAUUCCAGCUCCAGUAGCGUAUACUAACGUUGUUGCAGUUAAAAAGCUCGUAGUUGGAUUUCUGACUUGGCGUCSCGUCUCAKCUCCUAGAGGGUUUGGGUACAGMGAAACGUCGAGUCAUCCUGGCACAAUCUCUUUCUGGCUUUCACUAGCUGGACUGGGGGACAGCCUCGWUUACUUUGAGAAAAUUAGAGUGUUCAAAGCAG